This 305-nucleotide long non-coding RNA is filed under the name Sorghum bicolor (sorghum). Its description in RNAcentral is "long non-coding RNA (SBIC_LNC004603)". Lineage: Eukaryota; Viridiplantae; Streptophyta; Magnoliopsida; Poales; Poaceae. The record is from RNAcentral.
GAACACUCCCUACUUUGAGUUUAUACCAAUGUCUAGCUUUUCCCGUUAAAGAGAACGGAAAGAGCUUCCAUUUAAGGGUGUCAUCAGACAUGCCUUCUAUGCGAAGGAGGUCACAGACUCGAUAAAACUCUCUUAGGUGUUGUUGGGUAUUUUAAACGCAAACAGAAAAAUCCGCAAGCGCACGGAUACCGAUGUAGCCUUCACCCGGGAGUAUUCCAGAGUAUCGAUUUUCCACAGGGAACGUGAGUGUACUAAUUAAGAUUCAAGAUCGCCCAAGGAUAACUAUAUAAUUAUUUUUGGUGGGA